Molecule: ribosomal RNA, 468 nt
Filed under: uncultured bacterium
Lineage: Bacteria
Description: partial 16S ribosomal RNA
Rfam family: Bacterial small subunit ribosomal RNA
Source: RNAcentral
GACGAACGCUGGCGGCGUGCUUAACACAUGCAAGUCGAACGGAAAGGCCCUGCUUUCGUGGGGUGCUCGAGUGGCGAACGGGUGAGUAACACGGGAGUAUCCUGCCCUUGACUUUGGGAUAACUUCAGGAAACUGGGGCUACUACCGGAUAGGAGCUCCUGCAGCAUGGUGGGGGUUGGAAAUUUUCGGCGGUUGGGGAUGGACGCGCGGCUUAUCAGCUUGUUGGUGGGGGAGUGGCUUACCAAGGCUUUGACGGGUAGCCGGCCUGAGAGGGUGGCCAGCGUCCAUAGGCCUACGGUACGGAGCAGACGCGUACAGGAGACAGUGGGCGAGAGUAUUGCACAGUGAGCGGAAGCCUGAUACGGCGGCGCCGCGUUCGGAAUGACCGUCUUCUGGUUGUGAACCGCUUUAGCCUAAGACGAAGCGUGAGUGACGGUAAUGAGUAAAGAAGCACCGGCUAACUACGUG